Non-coding RNA from Heterocephalus glaber (naked mole-rat), 1931 nucleotides. The record is from RefSeq and is a predicted model, not a curated record. Lineage: Eukaryota; Metazoa; Chordata; Mammalia; Rodentia; Bathyergidae.
CAAUGCCUGUCACUGGUCAAUUCCAUCAGCUCAUGUGCUGGCACCCACAGGGGACAGAGAGCAAAUAGCACUUGACAGUGGAUAAGACCUGCCACCUUCAAACCACCCCAUAACUUCUGUUGCACCAGCGAAGGUUAUUGGUCCUUGUGAUUCAAUGAAAAUAAGAACACAGCAAAACUAAGACUAGAAGAAAAAAAUUCAUCCUGAAUCACUCACACUUUCUGGGAGUCUAAUGGAGGAACAGAGGAGGACUGAGAUGUGCACAAUGUGUUCUGAAGAAACAUUUUCCUUUAGUUCACCCACCUCACUCCCAGAAACUUCGGCUGCUCUCCAGGUGCAGAAGUCUCUGUCUCCAUCUUCAAACUGUCGAUAUGUGCAAUGGAGAUCACAGUAGCAGCCACAUACCAAGGGAGGCCCAUGAAGGAGCACACCACCAUGAUGACGGCCACCCAGAAGAGAUCCAAGUGAUAUCCAGCUCCUUUCUGUGGAGAGAGCUAAUGUAACCUUCUGGAGAAAACACUCAGAUCUGCUAGCCAGUUUUAUGCCUUGAUGGGAUUUAAGAUUACCAAAAGAAAAUAACUCAUUUCUUGGUAAAAGUAUUAGAGGGUCCUAGGGGAAAGGAACUUCAUUUUCCUCAUUCUGUUCCCCCAGCAAUUAAACACACAGCCACCUCUUACAGUUAUAAUAACACACACCUCCUCCACUAUCAUGGCUGUGAAUAACUGUUAGAUUUAAGCACUGCUUCACUUAGUAUGUAUUUACUGUUAAUUAACUUCUCUGCAUCCAAUUCUGUAAGCAAAAAUGUAGAGAUAUGUGCCUAUUUUGAAAAUUUAUUGGACUGUUCAUUGAAGUAACACAGGCAAAGUAUCUUGUAGUAACAAGAAUGGUGCCAGUAGUAGUUGUUACACAGCAGCAGCUCACUAAAUAAAGGCAGCAGCAGCAGUACUGCAGGGUGUGAUGACAAGGGUGAGGGGCGGGCACUCUACUCUGCAUUCUCCACUGGGGAGCGUUUAGGAUGAAUGAGUACAUGAAGUUGGUGCUGAGUACAUACAUGUAGACUAAAGAUCCCCAAAUAACCCUGAUAUGGUAUGAAGACCAUUCUUACCUUUCACAGACUAGGACAAUAAUUGCUAAAAGCCACUUACUCAUAAUCAUUAAGGUAAUUAAUAGCCCCUUAGAGAGGUUGACUUCAGUCACUGUCCAACAGCCACAUAACAUUUACUGACCACAAGAGCAGACAAUAUAACACAAGGUCUAGUUCUUCUACUCACUAGAUAAAUAUCGUUAAAUGUCUCCAUGGUGUUAUUCUAUGGCUGUAUUUCUCUGCUCUGUUUGUGAAGAAGUCAAAUGCUUGAUUCCCCUCUGGAGCUUAAGGGAACAGAGCAGUCCACGCUCACUGCAUGCAAGCACACCCUGAGGUCAGAGUGUGACCCUUCCAAGGAAUGGAGAGGCCGCUCUCCACGGGAAGCUGUGAUUUACACCAGGAACCCGUGUCUGUUAUCAUUCAGAUCCUGUGACACUUUGUGAGAACACUGCUCUCCCCUUACUGAAAUGCCAAGAGAUUCUACCCCUGUUUGCACACCUGGGUGUAAUCAUUUUUCAGAGAGCACAUAGCAGGUAAGGGGCACUGGACAAGGAAGAAAGGCUUGUGCUCAUUUGGUCCAGGAUUGGCUGAGAAUAAAAAUCUGCUCAUGGGAUAAAGAGGUUAAUAUACAAUGUAAGAAACAAAAUCAGGAAGUAAGGAAUAGAGUAAGGUGGAGGAAAGGAAAGCCAAUGUGGGAUGAUCUGAAAUAAACACAUUCAAUAAUGAUUAAGGUGGUGAAUAUCACGCUAUAUCGGGGAUCUCAGGCAUUCAUUCUUUCCACAAAUAUUGACUCUCAACUUAGUACCAGGCAUGGUUCUAGCUGCUGGUAACAUAUCUGCAAAUAAAA